UGCCCUUAAUCGUGCAUUUCCAAGCAAACACAUAUUUUAGGUAAUUUCGAAAUUUACCAUGAUCUCCCAUGAAUCCGACCUUGGAAGCUUGUUAUGGAGCUUUACCGAGUUGUUACAAGCUUGAUCUAGCUUCUGAAUUCAGUUUCCCUUGCGUCAGCUCAAGGAUCGGCUUGCUUCAAAAUUUACCGUACAUACACACACGGGAGACGAGAGGGAGAGGGAGAGAGAGAGGUGCACUGCACACAUGCCGC
This 251-nucleotide long non-coding RNA is filed under the name Citrus x clementina. RNAcentral's name for it is "Citrus clementina (C. clementina) long non-coding RNA (CCLE_LNC000433)". Lineage: Eukaryota; Viridiplantae; Streptophyta; Magnoliopsida; Sapindales; Rutaceae. The record is from RNAcentral.